GCGGGCGUGGUGUACGGUACACAACCGCCUCGGGUGUUGGUCCCAUCUUUCAUUCUGGAGCGGCAGACCCGGGUUCGACUCCCGGCGUCCGCG
Mycena latifolia is the source of this 93-nucleotide non-coding RNA. The record is from the annotation of a GenBank genome assembly. NCBI's taxonomy places the organism in Eukaryota, Fungi, Basidiomycota, Agaricomycetes, Agaricales, Mycenaceae.